This is a long non-coding RNA of Salvia hispanica, 403 nucleotides long. RefSeq lists it as uncharacterized. NCBI's taxonomy places the organism in Eukaryota, Viridiplantae, Streptophyta, Magnoliopsida, Lamiales, Lamiaceae. The record is from RefSeq and is a predicted model, not a curated record.
UUGACACCCCAAAGUUUCACCAACUUAAGAAUUUCAGCGAGGAGUAGAGAGGAGGGCGAGGAGAGGCAGCGGCAACACGGAGAGGCAGCCGUAAGCCGAGAAUCGCCAAGGAGAGGAUAAAUUGCUCGAGGGCAAGUGAGGUCAAAGCGAAUAAUCGAAUUGAAGAAUAAGCAUACCAGGUUGAACGUCAAGAGGAUGGAGUGAUGAUCGGAGUCGAUGUUAUCAAGUUGAUCUCCCGACGAUUCGUGUCUUCAUACACGAAGUCGUUUAGUAAGGACUUAUUCCGCUGCUCUUUUGGUGGAGUGAGAAUUGUAGAACCUCACCAUCAACUCUAAUUUAUUUGAGGAGAUGUUUAUUUUGUUUUCAAGACCAUAUAAUGAAAUACUUGCUUCUUUGAUAUAAA